Long non-coding RNA from Lemur catta (Ring-tailed lemur), 2214 nucleotides. RefSeq lists it as uncharacterized. Lineage: Eukaryota; Metazoa; Chordata; Mammalia; Primates; Lemuridae. The transcript is spliced from 2 exons. The record is from RefSeq and is a predicted model, not a curated record.
GAAACAAAGAAAUUCCUCACUCCUGGCACCGAUAUCUCCUGGCUGAAGAAGCUCCCAUCCCCCAGCCCUAAGAACCUAUAUAAACCCACUCAGACUGCAGGGCAGCGCGGCCUCUCUGGUACCACUCCGUGGGUCCCCUGAGGCUCGCCUGGGUCCCUCUCUCUCGGGGACUCGUUACGCCCACCCGGGAGCGCCCCAAUAAAGCCUCUUGACUUAUCCCUUUCUACUCUGCUCGUCUUUCCUUCUCUGGCGCCGGCUACUUCAAAGAAACCUUACUUACAUUUGGUGCCGAAACCCGGGAGGGGCGUUUGGCUGCGCCCGCCAGUCUGGGGCCCUGACUGCACCACCCCCUUUCGAGAACUCUCACUUUCGGGACCAGGAGCUCCGCUGACUGCCUUCGAGUCCCUGAUUGACGACCUCGGCCUGACUCUGUCACAGGUGAGGACGGCAAAUGCUGGGCAGCCUAUGCCAUUGUCUCUGCCUCUCAGGCAACUUCUCUGGGCCCACGCAGACAGAUACCUGCCUCAGCCUCCAGAGACCGACUCAGAUAUCUCUCACACGGAUAUCCUCUACCCUUGAGACCAGCGUUGCAAAUUAAAGUCACAGGCAAAGUAUACUAAAAAAUAUAUGACUAUUACCCUUCAUCGACUAUUCAUGUCAGCCGUGAAUACGUCCUGGCCCACCAGACACAGGUUCAAAUAUCUAUCGAUAUUCUGGAAGCAGAACAAACUCUAGCAGGACAACUUUCCUCCCGCCCUAAACAUUCCCCUCUUACCUCCUGGCUAAAUAUUAUUCAACAUACCCUCGCCUUCCUAAACUCCUCCAAAAUAAUCUCUAAUGUCUCCCACUGUUUCCUCUGUGCCUCCCUUCAACAACCGCCUACUGGCCGCUGUUCCCCUAAGCUUUUCUAACCCCUAAAAGACUCCCUCAUCGGGUCCCUUGUGCUCCACUCUGCUCACUCGAGUUCCCCCAUGGGAACCUGAGCCCACAGGCCAACCUUAUGCAGAUCGCGUGUGCUUUCUCACCACCCUCACUGACCCCAACCUACAACUUCAGGGACGCUGUCUCACUAACCAUACUGUGACCGCGACCACCUCCUCGGCUCCGGGACAGUUCUCCUGGUGCAACGGAACACUUACCCGCUACAUCAAUACUUCCACCCCGGGUCCUUGUUUCCCUGUCAUGGUGGUCCCUCAAUUAACUCUAUAUGGUGAGUCUGAAUUUGGGUGGCUUCUCCCAGGACCCCACUCAAAACGGGCCAUCUUCUUGCCAGUCAUGGUGGGUCUCAGCUUGGUCUCCUCCAUCGCAGCCUCAGGGCUCGUGGGAGGCGCCCUGGGCCACAGUGUCAUUUCUGCCCAAGAUUUUGCAGAUCACCUACAGCUAUCCCUGGAAACCACGUCCGCAUCACUAGUUUCCCUGCAGAGACAACUGACUUCUCUGGCCCACGUAGCUCUCCAAAACCGGAGGGCCCUGGACCUAUUAACGGCUGAGAAAGGAGGAACCUGCAUUUUCCUCUGCGAGGAAUGCUGCUACUACGUCAAAGAGUCAGGCUUAUAGAACAAAACAUAAAGAAACUCGACACCCUGAGCGAAGAGCUACACAACCACCACGCCACGGGCAGACUACUUCCUCCUUCGGAUGGAUACAGUCCCCACUAGCCACCUGGCUGUUACCCUUAAUAGGACCCAUUGUCACCAUUUGCCUAAUCUUUCUCUUUGCCCCCUGUCUUUUACAGUUUCUCCAACGCCACCUGCAGGAAUUAUCCACAGUGACAGUAAACCAGCUGCUUCUUCAUCCCUACUCUCCCAGUCACCCCUCCACCAGCCGACUCGGCCCAUAGCCCACACUACGCCCCUCAAAAGCAGGAAGUAGCCAGAAAGACCGCGGCGCCCUAUCAUCACUAAAAGGCCGGAAUGUAAGGCUGGUGCAGGUACCCCUCCCUUCCCUAAUGGAAAAAAGAAGAAGUCCCUCCUAUCCCUCAAUACCCGCCCCAAAGCUGAAACAAAGAAAUUCCUCACUCCUAGCACUGACAUCUCCUGGCUGAAGAAGCUCCCAUCCCCCAGCCCUAAGAACCUAUACAAACCCACUCAGACUGCUGGGCGGGGCAGCCUCUCUGGGACCACUCCGUGGGUCCCCUGAGGCUCACCCGGGUCCCUCUCUCUCGGGGACUCAUUACUCCCACCCAGGAGUGCUCCAAUAAAGCCUCUUUACUUA